UAUCUUAGAGCAAGACAAUAUCUCCCUGGGCAUCACAUUCCUCAUCUGUGAAAUAGGAAUCAUGAUGACGAUCUAAGGUGAUGUGAGGAUGACAUAGAAUACGAUCACAGUUUUUCCAUUUGCCACAUAAUGUGACAUUUACACUUUCUGUGGUAAACUUUGUAGAGAGCUUGAUUUCUUCUCAGUAGCUCAAUUCUCUGGUGUUUCUAAGCAACAGCCCCUCCGUGCCCAUCUCAGAACAAACACAAUCUGCAUUCAGAACAGGACCCUUUACAAGUUGAAUGGAGUUAUUUUGGAGAACGUUUUAGCAAUAGUACAAGUGAACACUCUAUAAGUUUGUUGGGGUUCACAUCUCAUGAAUGAGGAGAAACCUGGAAUCAAGAAGGAGACAUUCUUAAAUAUAUAA
Molecule: long non-coding RNA, 406 nt
Organism: Pipistrellus kuhlii (Kuhl's pipistrelle)
Lineage: Eukaryota; Metazoa; Chordata; Mammalia; Chiroptera; Vespertilionidae
Exons: 4
Source: RefSeq, a predicted model, not a curated record